Dromaius novaehollandiae (emu) is the source of this 1102-nucleotide long non-coding RNA. RefSeq lists it as uncharacterized. The record is from RefSeq and is a predicted model, not a curated record. The transcript has 3 exons. NCBI's taxonomy places the organism in Eukaryota, Metazoa, Chordata, Aves, Casuariiformes, Dromaiidae.
ACACUUUCCUUUCCUAACAUUAAGAGCUCCUUCAUUUCUUGCUGAGCUCACUUUGACUUUUGCUUCAGCCCUCUUCUGUAGAAGUUGAACUCCAGUGAUCUGGUGCAUUCUCAGACAAAUUAUUUAAAUUUUAUCUUGCUACUCAUUAAGGUGCAGGUAAGCUAUCAUUUCACUGGGGAACACAGUAAUUUAAUUUGAUUCUUGCAUAAAAUUUUUUAAAGCCACCACAGAGUAAAUGACAGUCUGCUAUUUCAGUCGUUUUACUGAAACAGACAGAAUCCUUCUUUUGAGAAGAUAUGCAUAGAAGUUUUCAGCAAUUUUGCAAGAACAGAUCAGGCAUCAUUUCAGUCCCAGAAAACAAAGCAGAGAUGAGCUGGAAAGCUCAGUUUCCACUGUGGUUAUCACCAACAGAGCUGUAUCAAUGAAGCUGAAGAUUACACAUGGACGAAACAAUCAAAGCAAUAGCAAAAAAGCCAUGGGUCUACAGGAGCUAAGCAGAAGUCAGAAAUGCCAGGCACAAGAGUUCAGUGUGAAUGGAAAAAAACAUACCAGGAAAAUUCUGCAAUUUUCCCAAAGGAUUUCUGAACAGAAUGGAUUCUGUUUAGUGAAUGGGCCAAACUACUGAAAGGGACCAAUGUCCUUGCUUGAAGAAGGAAUGUGUGUAGAGAAAAGGCAGAAGAUUACAGAAAGAGAAGCAUAGGUUUGAUGAUAAAAGCAACUGAGGAACACAGGCCUGCUCUUGCCUUCAUCUCACCAUCUCCAUGUGAUCUGGGCAAGUUCCUUAAACCAGAUUUUUCACAAGUGAUGAGAAUUUUCUGAGUACCCUCCUACAAGAAAUCUUGACUAUAAGCUGCUUUAUACAUAUACCUUAGGAUAAGAUGCCUCAUGUUCCCCAAGCAUAUAUUUCUUAUCCUUAUAGUCAGCUUGUUCAGAUGCAUGUAUUUUCAGUGCAGAUGGCUAAAGUCUGGAGAAAUGAAUGCCAUCUGCAGAGCUUGAUUCAGAAAAACACGGAGCUCUCAGCUGCGACAGGAAGCACUGGAGGCUAACAGUGAAUGUAGACACUUAUAGGAAAUGUUAAACAAUCUCUUUAACAAAAAUCCAU